RNAcentral lists this long non-coding RNA (227 nucleotides) under Capsella rubella. RNAcentral's name for it is "long non-coding RNA (CRUB_LNC000435)". The record is from RNAcentral. Lineage: Eukaryota; Viridiplantae; Streptophyta; Magnoliopsida; Brassicales; Brassicaceae.
UUAUAAUACAAUCAAUUUGAUUGUUUACAAAUGCUAGAGAUGGAUGAACAAUGUUUAGAAGUGUGAAGAAAAACUUGUUGAAAUUUGGUCACAAAUGGGAUAAGAACCCACAACCAUUGCUUUGUGGAAGUAAAUGGCUUGUCUAAAGUUUUUCUGGGUUAGAAUAUGUUACAAUACAAUGAAUUUGAUUGAUUACAAGUGAUAGAGAUAGAUGAAGAGUGUUUAGA